UGGUGUGGCGCAACUGGUAGCGCAACUGAUUUGUAAUCAGUAGGUUGCAGGUUCGAUUCCUGUCACU
This 67-nucleotide transfer RNA is filed under the name pig gut metagenome. It matches the Rfam family "tRNA", at positions 5 to 66 of the family's 71-position model. From Rfam's summary of the family: Transfer RNA (tRNA) molecules are approximately 80 nucleotides in length. Their secondary structure includes four short double-helical elements and three loops (D, anti-codon, and T loops). The record is from RNAcentral.